Non-coding RNA from Phrynosoma platyrhinos (Desert horned lizard), 71 nucleotides. NCBI's taxonomy places the organism in Eukaryota, Metazoa, Chordata, Lepidosauria, Squamata, Phrynosomatidae. The record is from the annotation of a GenBank genome assembly.
GCCAGUGUGGUGUAGUGGUUUGAGUGCUGAGCUAUGACUCAGAAGACCAGGGUUCGAAUCUCUGUUUGGCC